GAUGAACGCUGGCGGCGUGCCUAAUACAUGCAAGUCGAGCGAACAGACGAGGAGCUUGCUCCUCUGACGUUAGCGGCGGACGGGUGAGUAACACGUGGAUAACCUACCUAUAAGACUGGGAUAACUUCGGGAAACCGGAGCUAAUACCGGAUAAUAUAUUGAACCGCAUGGUUCAAUAGUGAAAGACGGUUUUGCUGUCACUUAUAGAUGGAUCCGCGCCGCAUUAGCUAGUUGGUAAGGUAACGGCUUACCAAGGCAACGAUGCGGAGCCGACCUGAGAGGGUGAUCGGCCACACUGGAACUGAGACACGGUCCAGACGCCUACGGGAGGCAGCAGUAGGGAAUCUUCCGCAAUGGGCGAAAGCCUGACGGAGCAACGCCGCGUGAGUGAUGAAGGUCUUCGGAUCGUAAAACUCUGUUAUUAGGGAAGAACAAAUGUGUAAGUAACUAUGCACGUCUUGACGGUACCUAAUCAGAAAGCCACGGCUAACUACGUG
This 497-nucleotide ribosomal RNA is filed under the name uncultured bacterium. Its description in RNAcentral is "partial 16S ribosomal RNA". It matches the Rfam family "Bacterial small subunit ribosomal RNA", at positions 28 to 507 of the family's 1533-position model. The record is from RNAcentral.